GACGAACGCUGGCGGUGUGCUUAACACAUGCAAGUCGAACGGUAAGGCCCUUUCGGGGGUACACGAGUGGCGAACGGGUGAGUAACACGUGAGUAACCUGCCCUCAUCUCUGGGAUAACAGUCGGAAACGGUUGCUAAUACUGGAUAUGAGCUUGCAAGGCAUCUUGUGGGUUGGAAAGAUUUUUUUUGGUUGGGGAUGGACUCGCGGCCUAUCAGCUUGUUGGUGAGGUAGUGGCUCACCAAGGCUUCGACGGGUAGCCGGCCUGAGAGUGCGACCGGCCACAUUGGGACUGAGAUACGGCCCAAACUCCUACGGGAGGCAGCAGUGGGGAAUAUUGCACAAUGGACGGAAGUCUGAUGCAGCAACGCCGCGUGCGGGAUGACGGCCUUCGGGUUGUAAACCGCUUUCAAUUGUGACGAAGCUUUUUUGUGACGGUAGCAGUAGAAGAAGCACCGGCUAACUACGUG
Molecule: ribosomal RNA, 468 nt
Filed under: uncultured bacterium
Lineage: Bacteria
Description: partial 16S ribosomal RNA
Rfam family: Bacterial small subunit ribosomal RNA
Source: RNAcentral